Molecule: long non-coding RNA, 449 nt
Filed under: Polistes fuscatus (common paper wasp)
Lineage: Eukaryota; Metazoa; Arthropoda; Insecta; Hymenoptera; Vespidae
Description: uncharacterized LOC122517816
Source: RNAcentral
AUAAUGUAUUAUAUAUUUAACGACUUUAUAAAAAAAAAAUAAAUGACAAGAAAAGAGAAGAGUAAAACUAGUUGGAUAGUAUGUAUAGAAAGAAGAGAAGAUAAUCAAGAGCUCCGGCAUGAAGAGAGUUUGAAAGUAAAGAGAAUGAAAGGUGCAGCCAUAAGUACAAUCUCGUUCGACGGUCGAAGAAACGUAGUACGUCCAGGCAAAUACACAGGGCCGCAGUUCGUUGCAUCGAUUCGAAUGUUCAAAGAUACUACCGAAGGCGAUCUCGUUGCUGCGUUAUAAAUAGAAUUUAGCGUUUACUCCCGCGAUUGCGGCCCUACAUCGAGGAGAGCUAUUUUCGAGAUCCAUCGCGAGUCGUUACAGUCCUCUUCUUGGUUCUAACGAGUUUCGUUCGGAAGGAGCACUGUAGUUCCUAACAAAUAAUUCACUGAAAGAGAGAAAAA